UGGGGAAUAUUGCACAAUGGGCGCAAGCCUGAUGCAGCCAUGCCGCGUGUAUGAAGAAGGCCUUCGGGUUGUAAAGUACUUUCAGUCGGGAGGAAGGUGGUAAGGUUAAUAACCUUAUCAAUUGACGUUACCGACAGAAGAAGCACCGGCUAACUCCGUGCCAGCAGCCGCGGUAAUACGGAGGGUGCAAGCGUUAAUCGGAAUUACUGGGCGUAAAGCGCACGCAGGCGGUCUGUCAAGUCGGAUGUGAAAUCCCCGGGCUCAACCUGGGAACUGCAUUCUAAACUGGCAGGCUAGAGUCUUGUAGAGGGGGGUAGAAUUCCAGGUGUAGCGGUGAAAUGCGUAGAGAUCUGGAGGAAUACCGGUGGCGAAGGCGGCCCCCUGGACAAAGACUGACGCUCAGGUGCGAAAGCGUGGGGAGCAAACAGG
Molecule: ribosomal RNA, 429 nt
Filed under: Chloroflexota bacterium
Lineage: Bacteria; Bacillati; Chloroflexota
Description: Chloroflexi bacterium partial 16S ribosomal RNA
Rfam family: Bacterial small subunit ribosomal RNA
Source: RNAcentral